UAACGCUGGCGGCGUGCUCACACAUGUCAAGUCGAACGAGAAAGGGGCUUCGGCUCCGAGUAAAGUGGCGCACGGGUGAGUACACGUGGGUAACCUGCCUCUAAGAUUGGGAUAACUCGUCGAAAGAUGAGCUAAUACCGAAUAAGACCACAGUUCCUGCGGGGACAGCGGUCAAAGGUAGCCUCUGCUUGCAAGCUAUCACUUAGAGAUGGGCCUGCGCACCAUUAGCUAGUUGGUAGGGUAACGGCCUACCAAGGCAAAGAUGGUUAGCUGGUCCGAGAGGAUGAUCAGCCACACUGGAACUGAGACACGGUCCAGACUCCUACGGGAGGCAGCAGUGGGGAAUAUUGCGCAAUGGGCGAAAGCCUGACGCAGCAACGCCGCGUGAGUGAUGAAGGCCUUCGGGUCGUAAAGCUCUGUCGGAAGGAACGAAUGCUCCUGAGGUUAACAGCCUCGGGAGGUGACGGUACCUUCAAAGGAAGCACCGGCUAACUCUGUGCCAGCAGCCGAGGUAAUACAGAGGGUGCAAGCGUUGUUCGGA
This 541-nucleotide ribosomal RNA is filed under the name uncultured soil bacterium. RNAcentral's name for it is "bacterial SSU rRNA". It matches the Rfam family "Bacterial small subunit ribosomal RNA", at positions 31 to 549 of the family's 1533-position model. The record is from RNAcentral.